GUGGAUGCCCUGGCAGUCAGAGGCGAUGAAGGACGUGCUAAUCUGCGAUAAGCGUCGGUGAGGUGAUAUGAACCGUUAUAACCGGCGAUUUCCGAAUGGGGAAACCCAGUGUGUUUCGACACACUAUCAUUAACUGAAUCCAUAGGUUAAUGAGGCGAACCGGGGGAACUGAAACAUCUAAGUACCCCGAGGAAAAGAAAUCAACCGAGAUUCCCCCAGUAGCGGCGAGCGAACGGGGAGGAGCCCAGAGCCUGAAUCAGUGUGUGUGUUAGUGGAAGCGUCUGGAAAGGCGUGCGAUACAGGGUGACAGCCCCGUACACAAAAAUGCACAUAUUGUGAGCUCGAUGAGUAGGGCGGGACACGUGGUAUCCUGUCUGAAUAUGGGGGGACCAUCCUCCAAGGCUAAAUACUCCUGACUGACCGAUAGUGAACCAGUACCGUGAGGGAAAGGCGAAAAGAACCCCGGCGAGGGGAGUGAAAAAGAACCUGAAACCGUGUACGUACAAGCAGUGGGAGCCUCUUAAUGGGGUGACUGCGUACCUUUUGUAUAAUGGGUCAGCGACUUAUAUUCUGUAGCAAGGUUAACCGAAUAGGGGAGCCGAAGGGAAACCGAGUCUUAACUGGGCGUUAAGUUGCAGGGUAUAGACCCGAAACCCGGUGAUCUAGCCAUGGGCAGGUUGAAGGUUGGGUAACACUAACUGGAGGACCGAACCGACUAAUGUUGAAAAAUUAGCGGAUGACUUGUGGCUGGGGGUGAAAGGCCAAUCAAACCGGGAGAUAGCUGGUUCUCCCCGAAAGCUAUUUAGGUAGCGCCUCGUGAAUUCAUCUCCGGGGGUAGAGCACUGUUUCGGCAAGGGGGUCAUCCCGACUUACCAACCCGAUGCAAACUGCGAAUACCGGAGAAUGUUAUCACGGGAGACACACGGCGGGUGCUAACGUCCGUCGUGAAGAGGGAAACAACCCAGACCGCCAGCUAAGGUCCCAAAGUCAUGGUUAAGUGGGAAACGAUGUGGGAAGGCCCAGACAGCCAGGAUGUUGGCUUAGAAGCAGCCAUCAUUUAAAGAAAGCGUAAUAGCUCACUGGUCGAGUCGGCCUGCGCGGAAGAUGUAACGGGGCUAAACCAUGCACCGAAGCUGCGGCAGCGACACUAUGUGUUGUUGGGUAGGGGAGCGUUCUGUAAGCCUGUGAAGGUGGCCUGUGAGGGUUGCUGGAGGUAUCAGAAGUGCGAAUGCUGACAUAAGUAACGAUAAAGCGGGUGAAAA
Molecule: ribosomal RNA, 1262 nt
Filed under: Escherichia coli
Lineage: Bacteria; Pseudomonadati; Pseudomonadota; Gammaproteobacteria; Enterobacterales; Enterobacteriaceae
Description: partial 23S ribosomal RNA
Rfam family: Bacterial large subunit ribosomal RNA
Source: RNAcentral